UACGGGGGGGGCAAGCGUUGUUCGGAAUUACUGGGCGUAAAGGGCUCGUAGGCGGCCAACUAAGUCGGAUGUGAAAUCCCCAGGCUCAACCUGGGAACUGCAUCCGAUACUGGAUGGCUUGAAUUCGGGAGAGGGAUGCAGAAUUCCAGGUGUAGCGGUGAAAUGCGUAGAUAUCUGGAGGAAUACCGGUGGCGAAGGCGGCAUCCUGGACCGAGAUUGACGCUGAUGAGCGAAAGCUAGGGGAGCAAACGGG
Molecule: ribosomal RNA, 253 nt
Filed under: uncultured bacterium
Lineage: Bacteria
Description: partial 16S ribosomal RNA
Rfam family: Bacterial small subunit ribosomal RNA
Source: RNAcentral